This 460-nucleotide ribosomal RNA is filed under the name uncultured bacterium. Its description in RNAcentral is "partial 16S ribosomal RNA". It matches the Rfam family "Bacterial small subunit ribosomal RNA", at positions 338 to 795 of the family's 1533-position model. The record is from RNAcentral.
CCUACGGGAGGCAGCAGUGAGGAAUAUUGGUCAAUGGACGAGAGUCUGAACCAGCCAAGUAGCGUGAAGGAUGACUGCCCUAUGGGUUGUAAACUUCUUUUAUAUGGGAAUAAAAUGUUCCACGUGUGGGAUUUUGUAUGUACCAUAUGAAUAAGGAUCGGCUAACUCCGUGCCAGCAGCCGCGGUAAUACGGAGGAUCCGAGCGUUAUCCGGAUUUAUUGGGUUUAAAGGGAGCGUAGGUGGAUUGGUAAGUCAGGUGUGAAAGUUUGCGGCUCAACCGUAAAAUUGCAGUUGAAACUGGCAGUCUUGAGUACAGUAGAGGUGGGCGGAAUUCGUGGUGUAGCGGUGAAAUGCUUAGAUAUCACGAAGAACUCCGAUUGCGAAGGCAGUUCACUGGACUGCAACUGACACUGAGGCUCGAAAGUGUGGGUAUCAAACAGGAUUAGAUACCCCGGUAGUC